Molecule: ribosomal RNA, 1508 nt
Filed under: mixed sample
Description: bacterial SSU rRNA
Rfam family: Bacterial small subunit ribosomal RNA
Source: RNAcentral
AGAGUUUGAUCCUGGCUCAGGAUGAACGCUAGCUACAGGCUUAACACAUGCAAGUCGAGGGGCAGCAUUUCAGUUUGCUUGCAAACUGGAGAUGGCGACCGGCGCACGGGUGAGUAACACGUAUCCAACCUGCCGAUAACUCGGGGAUAGCCUUUCGAAAGAAAGAUUAAUACCCGAUGGUAUAAUCAGACCGCAUGGUCUUGUUAUUAAAGAAUUUCGGUUAUCGAUGGGGAUGCGUUCCAUUAGGCAGUUGGUGAGGUAACGGCUCACCAAACCUUCGAUGGAUAGGGGUUCUGAGAGGAAGGUCCCCCACAUUGGAACUGAGACACGGUCCAAACUCCUACGGGAGGCAGCAGUGAGGAAUAUUGGUCAAUGGGCGCAGGCCUGAACCAGCCAAGUAGCGUGAAGGAUGACUGCCCUAUGGGUUGUAAACUUCUUUUAUAUGGGAAUAAAGUUUUCCACGUGUGGAAUUUUGUAUGUACCAUAUGAAUAAGGAUCGGCUAACUCCGUGCCAGCAGCCGCGGUAAUACGGAGGAUCCGAGCGUUAUCCGGAUUUAUUGGGUUUAAAGGGAGCGUAGGUGGACAGUUAAGUCAGUUGUGAAAGUUUGCGGCUCAACCGUAAAAUUGCAGUUGAUACUGGCUGUCUUGAGUACAGUAGAGGUGGGCGGAAUUCGUGGUGUAGCGGUGAAAUGCUUAGAUAUCACGAAGAACUCCGAUUGCGAAGGCAGCUCACUGGACUGCAACUGACACUGAUGCUCGAAAGUGUGGGUAUCAAACAGGAUUAGAUACCCUGGUAGUCCACACAGUAAACGAUGAAUACUCGCUGUUUGCGAUAUACAGUAAGCGGCCAAGCGAAAGCAUUAAGUAUUCCACCUGGGGAGUACGCCGGCAACGGUGAAACUCAAAGGAAUUGACGGGGGCCCGCACAAGCGGAGGAACAUGUGGUUUAAUUCGAUGAUACGCGAGGAACCUUACCCGGGCUUAAAUUGCAUUUGAAUAUAUUGGAAACAGUAUAGCCGUAAGGCAAAUGUGAAGGUGCUGCAUGGUUGUCGUCAGCUCGUGCCGUGAGGUGUCGGCUUAAGUGCCAUAACGAGCGCAACCCUUAUCUUUAGUUACUAACAGGUCAUGCUGAGGACUCUAGAGAGACUGCCGUCGUAAGAUGUGAGGAAGGUGGGGAUGACGUCAAAUCAGCACGGCCCUUACGUCCGGGGCUACACACGUGUUACAAUGGGGGUACAGAAGGCAGCUACCUGGUGACAGGAUGCUAAUCCCAAAAGCCUCUCUCAGUUCGGAUCGAAGUCUGCAACCCGACUUCGUGAAGCUGGAUUCGCUAGUAAUCGCGCAUCAGCCAUGGCGCGGUGAAUACGUUCCCGGGCCUUGUACACACCGCCCGUCAAGCCAUGAAAGCCGGGGGUACCUGAAGUACGUAACCGCAAGGAGCGUCCUAGGGUAAAACUGGUAAUUGGGGCUAAGUCGUAACAAGGUAGCCGUACCGGAAGGUGCGGCUG